CAUAACCCUAGCAGCCAUUCAUCAUCAGGCAAACGAAGCAGCUAGAAGAGAGACAGACGCCAUAGCCAUCGCACCUCGCGUUCGUCUCCUUUCGCCGGAAAACCAGCUCCAUCGCCACCGCUUGUCUUACCGCCGUCGCCGAGUAGCGCCACCGUUGCCGCUGGACGACGCCGACGCAGGAAGAAGCCAGACGGGGGGCGGGCGAUCUUCAACAGUCGCCGCCGCUGCGACGCCGUGACCGCCGUAAAGAUCGCAACGGGCGAUUGAAUUCCGAUCAGGACGCCGAUCGGUAAUAACCAAGGUUGUAUGAUAUGUAAAAACUGCUAUAACAGGAACUACUAUAACAGGAGAAUGAAGACAAGAAGAAAGGGAAGUAUUCUUAUUCAUCAUUCUUGUAUAUUUACAAGAGGGAAACCAUAUAUAUAUAAUAUAUAAGUAAUAAUAACACUACUAAUGACCGUUACAAUGGUUACAUAAUAAUGGCCACAUGAAUAUAUCAUUUAUAACUUAUAUUUUACCAUAUUUAGAUUAAUCUGAUUCAUACUGGGUCAACCUAAUUAUGAGACACCUUACUUAAGGAACAAGAGUGCACAAUUUUUGAUCACUUACUUCUGUGGUUCAUACUUCAUAUUCUGUAUUAAUACCAGGUUUAUUUCUACACGGCCGAAUAUUUUUAUUUUUAUUCUAAUCAAACGGGGCUCCGAAUCUGAGCAAAAGUAGCUGAAAA
Ipomoea triloba (trilobed morning glory) is the source of this 727-nucleotide long non-coding RNA. RefSeq lists it as uncharacterized. Lineage: Eukaryota; Viridiplantae; Streptophyta; Magnoliopsida; Solanales; Convolvulaceae. The transcript has 2 exons. The record is from RefSeq and is a predicted model, not a curated record.